CCGAGUUUUCAACUCCCAAACCCCAUGUGAACUUAUACCAUUUUUUGCUUCGGCGGGUUCUCGCCCCGGGUUUUACACCCCGGAACCAGGCGGCCCGCCGGGGGACUCAAACUCUAGAUUUUUACUUUAGCAUGUCUGAGUGGAAUCAUUACAAAAUGAAUC
RNAcentral lists this unclassified non-coding RNA (162 nucleotides) under Pochonia chlamydosporia var. catenulata. RNAcentral's name for it is "ITS1". Lineage: Eukaryota; Fungi; Ascomycota; Sordariomycetes; Hypocreales; Clavicipitaceae. The record is from RNAcentral.